This is a non-coding RNA of Canis lupus familiaris (dog), 125 nucleotides long. Lineage: Eukaryota; Metazoa; Chordata; Mammalia; Carnivora; Canidae. The record is from RefSeq and is marked provisional.
AAGUCUGGAUGGUUUUCCAGAGUGUUUCUCUUGGCCUCUGUUCCAUGCCUGGGCUGUGCCUGGCCAGUGGGUAGAGCCGCAUGGUGUAGGGGCCACAAGGAACAUUCCUGGCAGUGCCCUGGAUG